AUGAAACUUGCACUCAAAUCAACUGCAGUGAGCAUUCACCCUCUCACAUCUUCCAGGAAGCACAGAAAAUAUUCAGAAGAAAAGACACCAGCCUGCUACCAGUAGAUAUCUCUGGGUCUAUGGGUCCAUGAAGAGACAAAGGCCUUUUGUUUGGGGCUUUUCAGCAGUGAGAUGACUCCCCUUCAUUCCUGAACCUCAC
Molecule: long non-coding RNA, 199 nt
Organism: Cercocebus atys (sooty mangabey)
Lineage: Eukaryota; Metazoa; Chordata; Mammalia; Primates; Cercopithecidae
Exons: 3
Source: RefSeq, a predicted model, not a curated record